CGAAAGGGGAAGACUCUGCAGUGACACUAGUUUUCUGCAGUUUCUGAUGAUAAGAUCGUGCAGAUGCCGGAGACCGAUGACACAAUCUGGAAUCCUCUUUAUAUCACUGUUGCUUAGGUCUAGAUAAAUUACAUUUAUAGGGACAUGCGUUAAUCUCUUGAGGCUUUUGUUGCCUAUGAUAAGAUACUUGAGGCGAGACCAGCGUUCAGCAACAGACGCAGGAACAUCUUCUAUCUUUGUGUUUCCUACAUCAAGAUAUUCAAUGUUGCUAGAAAUAUUUGGAAAAGUUCUCAACCGUGAGCAACCGUUCAUGUCGACUUUCUCAAGAGAUGCUAAGUUGAUGUUGUUGGUGGGAAUGACUCGUAGUUUAGUACAGUAGCUCAUCUUCAACUCUUUCAGUCUGUGUGAGUUUUUAAUAGAAGAGGGAAGCUCCACCAGGCUUGUGCCCGUCAGUGUCAAUGUCUCAAGAUUAGUAGCAUUCGUAAGAUUUGGCAUUUCUUUCAGCUUAUAGGAAAAGCUAAGAUCCAUCUCGUUGAGAUUUGCAAGGGGCUACAUGUGUCAAACACAACAAAUGAGAAAAAUCGUAUAUAUAAAAACUUUUGGAGAUUUUUUUUAUAUGAAAUUUUAAAUUAGUGAUCAUGCGAAAACAAAAUAUUUACAAAGUGAUACUAUGUAAACUAAGUGUGAAAGGAUGAAAAAAUAACUGAUUAGGCCCUAUGAACGGUUAACCUCAAACCAUCUUCUAAGUAAAGCCUUUGAUUGGUGGUAUGAGUUAGUCUUGAUUAAGUUGGAGUUAUGAGUAAAACUCAUGAAUUAGUUUUAAGUUUUUGAGCUUUUGUUUGAGUUAUAAUAAAUUAUAAAUUAUAGUUGAGUUACAAUUUUGAAUUACUCCCUUUGUAAAACUAAUAACUCAUAUUCUUAUAGCAAACUUACUAUAAAAAUCUACCUUUUAUACCACAUAAUUUUUACUACGAGUUACGUCAAAUUGUAACCUUUUUUGUAAUUCAAAUCUAACACUACUUGUCACCAGUAGGAUGUAAACUAAGUGUGAAAGAAUGAAAAAAUAACUGAUUAGGCCCUAUGAACGGUUAACCUCAAACCAUCUUCUAAGUAAAAAUAGUAUAAGAUUUUUUAAAAUAACAAAUACCAACCUGGAUUCCUCCCCAGAGCUUCUCGAGAUUGCUGUGCGUCAUACGGAGCGUAACGAGACAUUCUGGCUGAAAUGUUGAAGGAAGACGUUUUCCUGGGUAAAACGCCCAAUCAAGCAUACUUAGACGAGGCAGAUAUGUCAAAUCCCCUAGUAUGCAUGGGAAGCUAGCAUUUUCAUUAUAAGAACCCAUGUAAAAUCUUAAGAACCGGAGAUUACGCAUUCCUUCAAAGGCUCGCCCACUUAUAGAAAUCAUCCCGCCGACCUUCGACGUAUCAAGUGAUAUACCUAUGACAGAUCCAGUCCCCUGACAUACAUUUCAAAAAGUCUGGUUAAAACUGUUAUUUUUUUUUGGGAACAUAUAACUGUUAUAUCUAGAAAACCAAAUAUAUAAAUAUAUGUAAGAACUUACUGUUUCAUUUGCAAGCACAGUACAAAUCUCGUCGGCCUCUACUAAAAACUGACGUUUCCCGGGCUCAUCAGACUGUUCAUAAACUACUUGUCUCCCCAAUUGUUGUAGUAAAGAGUGCAUCUCUAUCCACAAAAAUUAUUAUAAGAACUCACCCCGUGCCACAUGCGCAGGUUAUCAUCUAGUUGUUUAAUAUUCAGAAUCUUAUUAUCUUUUCUGUUUAUGUGAGUUCGAACAUCACUAUAAUUUAUAUGCAAUUCAAUCAAAAUAAGCCAGUUUUCAUAUGAUAUAGAGAUAUCAUUUUUUGUUAACAUUCAGCUACACAAACAGGAUCUUCAUACCUCUGUAAAAAAACAUAGGUCAUGUAUCAACAAGGAUCUCAUGGAGCCUAUACUCUAAUUUUACAUUACUAGAGACGCAGAGCAACACACCCAACACAAAAUUUCUGUAAAAGAAUACAUAUAUUUAUGAUGAGUCAAAGCUUGUGGGUGUUUCAGUCACUGAACUCUAAACUUCCACUGCAUGAGCUGCUACCCAUCGCGGCUAUGCAAAGAAAGGCCUCUCAUAACCAUCAACUUUCUUCUCCUUGAAGAAAUUUUCUCUCUCAACAUGCUUUGCAGGUGGUGGUGGAAUCACAACAGCCUGGGAUUAUGAUUGCGAAUGGCUAUCACCACCACCGUGUAAUAACUCCUUUGAUGGUAAAGGACGAGUGAGUGGACGGUUUAUUCUUUCACUAUGUAUAGAUGAUGAUCCAAGCAAGGUGUGUGGAUGAGGUGAUGGCUCUUAUUCAUCCUCAUGCAUUGCUCUAGCUUUCCCUUUUCGCAAUCUGCAAGCACACAAGAAUAAUAGCCAUUUUAAGACUCCAAGAACCUUAUGAAAGCAAUCAAUAAGGGGAGAGAGACAUUCUGACUAACUGCUCAGUCUCCUCUUCCUCGUCUCCAAGAUUAAGAUGUGUUGGAUUGGAGAUAGAGCUAUUUGCAGUAGAAGCGUUUAGCUCAAGUUUCUUGUGGCCAUUGGAUGUAGUAGACCUGCCUGGCACUGUGAUUUUACCAGACAGUAGAUCUUUAUGUCUGUUAAGAAUCCUCUGAAGUUUCUCAUUCAGUUCGAUUGCUAGAGAAACUGCUCUUUCAUUCCUGCACAUACAAUCCCAUCUACUUGAGAAAGACAUGCCAUCUUAAGCAAUAGAGAUGGAAAACUUGCCUUGAGGUCAUGAUGAGAUGCAUUACACGCUCUUUCUGAAACGAGCAUUGCUCGACAAGAUCAAGAGUAAACUCAUCUAUUGCUCCCUAAAAGGUCAAAAAGUGGAUCAAACUUGAGUUAUCACUCAGACUAAGAGAUCAACAAGAGAGCCAAAGAAUGUCUGUUUAAUACCUCAGGAUUUUGAGAAUCAACUGCAUCAAGCACUUGCUUCAAAACUUCUAAUGAAGCACUGGCCUCCUGUAAAAUGCUACAAGCAAAAGGAGAUACAAGUGAUUAAGCAUUAAGAAUUGAGGUACCUGACAUGUGGAAGAAGAAGAAGAUACCUAGAAGGAGAGGUAGUGUGAGACUCUCACUGCUGAGUAGUGGGAGCAGUCCCUUCGCUUCUAGCAUACAAAUAGAAAAAUCUAAUAUCCGUAGCAUACAAAACAAAUCACAAAUACCUCCAAAAAUUCAGAUAUCCAUCCGUGUCCAGCCCUGUUGCAUGAGAUUCCACGAGAAGUCUGCUAUGUUUUUCAUCUUCUUCUUCUUCCUCCUCAGACCACCUCCAGUAACCUGCAUUGCAUAUUUACUGGCUUUAAUUAAUAUUUUCACGAGACCCAAGCGGCUCCAUCCUUGUGCUGGUAGCUGCUGCUGCCUACAACUUCAGGGUAACUACUGCUUUGGCUGCUGCUACUCUCAAAUUCCUCGGUCAAGAUAUGCACACCACACUCAAUAAUGUUUUCAUCGUUGUCUCGGCAGCUGAAUUCAAAUAUAAUAUCACUCCUAGACACGUCCACGUCAUGGCAUCUCUCUUUUUGAAACAAGUCCCACAAAGCACUAACAGGUGUUCCGACAGAAAUGCAUGCGUCGUCUCGACAGACAACCUAAGUUCGUUGAUGAGCUCACCUUUGCUUCUUAGACGACAAUAGAGACUACUAUCUAAGUACUGUACCCCUAGGGCUGAUGAAAGCAGGACGCAUGCCUUGAAACUUGAAGACGUGGAGAAAGUACCCUCAGGGAUGGUUAUGGAGUUUCCUGUGGCUUUGUGAGUGAACUCAGCAGGGAUUUCUCUGCCUGGUAACAAUAAACACUUGUAAUUGACAAACAGACAAGAAACUGAAUCAGUUCACUACAAGGACGAGGAGGAACAUCUUUCAACCAAGCCAUGGUGGUUUGGUUUUUCGUCUAGAGAUUAGACGGGUUUUAAUCACUGAUAUUGUUUCAAAACUAUCACACAUGUUAGACUAAGGCUGCAUUAGUUUGUACAAAAACCUUUUUUGAUUUAAAUAAAUUCAGAAAAAAUGUCAAAAAUAUCACACUCAUAAUAUGGCUUUUAUGUUUACAUUAACCAAUUUACAUUCACUAAUCUAGACUUAAGAUUUAGAGAUGAGUGGUGGGGUAAGUUUUUAGAAUCUGAAAUCUAGGAUUCUAAUAAAUAUAUAAAUAAAUACUUAAAACAAAUUAAAAAAAAUAAUUUCAAAAAGAAUUUUCGAUUUUCGAAAAGAAAUUUUAAAAAAGAAAUUCAAAAUAUUUAUAAAAAAAAUCGAAUUUAAAAAAAGUAUAAUUCGAAAACAUUAAAAAAAAUAUUUUGUUUUUAUUUUUUAUUUAUUGAAAUAAUUAUUUAUUAUAUAUAUAUAGAGAACGGUAAAGAUGAAUUUCCCCCAUAAAUUUAACUUUUUUCAAAAAAAGAACACCUAUCCCAUCGUUGUAUUAUUAGCCUUCUUGCUUCUUCAUCAAGUUUCAAACAGUUACGGAACAUGGACUUUCUGAAUGGAUGGAAAAUGGAAGAUGCUCUUCUCUCUUCUUUCUCCAAAUUCACAUCGUUGCAUUUGUUGGGAGUAGUACUAUACGCUCUUGAUGCAGAUAACAAGAAACGUACGCUUUUGAGCGAUCCACAAUCAGUUGCAUCGAGAAGCCAAACCGAAAGGGGAAGACUCUGCAGUGACACUAGUUUUCUGCAGUUUCUGAUGAUAAGAUCGUGCAGAUGCCGGAGACCGAUGACACAAUCUGGAAUCCUCUUUAUAUCACUGUUGCUUAGGUCUAGAUAAAUUACAUUUAUAGGGACAUGCGUUAAUCUCUUGAGGCUUUUGUUGCCUAUGAUAAGAUACUUGAGGCGAGACCAGCGUUCAGCAACAGACGCAGGAACAUCUUCUAUCUUUGUGUUUCCUACAUCAAGAUAUU
This 4916-nucleotide long non-coding RNA is filed under the name Brassica napus (rape). RNAcentral describes it as "long non-coding RNA (BNAP_LNC020878)". The record is from RNAcentral. Lineage: Eukaryota; Viridiplantae; Streptophyta; Magnoliopsida; Brassicales; Brassicaceae.